Molecule: long non-coding RNA, 5206 nt
Filed under: Homo sapiens (human)
Lineage: Eukaryota; Metazoa; Chordata; Mammalia; Primates; Hominidae
Description: non-protein coding LINC00639:9
Source: RNAcentral
GCCACCCCUGAGACAGCAAGACCAACAACCCCUUCUCUUCCUCUUCAGCCUACUCAGUGUGAAGAUGAUAAAAUGAAACAGUUGGUGAUGUUUCAGAGAACCCAACUCAAACUGACUUGAACAAGAGAAAUCAGUGUUUACUGCAGAGAACACAGAAGCCAGCAAGCAGCAGGGAAGGGAGGCGAACCAAUGCAGCAGCCCACCGGGACCGAGGAGGACACACGCAGAGCAAGUCACAGGAAGCGCAGCUGAAAACAAAUGGACGCUUAUCCCAAAUGCACAGGACACUUACCAAGAACUGAUGGUCCGUCAAAGUAAAGCUCAACAGCUUUGGCUGGCAGGACAGUCAAACUUUUGGACGACAGAAAGUAACAGUGGGAAAUGGGACAACAUCUGCCAGCAACGCGAGAGGCCAAGACCAUGGCUGCUACAGGAGGGGUCAGCGUCACAGUACACGCAUGGCGGCGGUUGCACAUGCAUGCCUGGGGAAUGUGAGUGUUCAGACAUGCCAGGAGUCCAGCCUCACCAGGAAACAGGCACACGGGGACAGAGGCGCAAACACUGAAAACUCUCGCUGAAUCCACUCGGCUGAGCGGUGGUCACGAGAGCACGGCCCUGCGCUCCCCACAAAACUGCACCUGGGCCCCAGGGCGAGACAGGCGUGGAAGGUGCAGGGGUGUGUGUGGGGGCAGGGGCUCCUGGCUCAGAGCCGUAUCCAGGAACCCCCCUUCAGGCUGGAGCCCUGCCCUGAGCCCCCUGUGGAGAGACUGUGGAGAGCCCCCUGUGGAGAGGGUGACUGUGGGAGAGCAGCAUCAGGCCUAGUCUCGGCUGUGAAGUACCCCCCACCUCCACGCAGGAUCCCGGGGAUUCUGUCAAGGUGGGGGCCGCCUGCUCAGCCCAGGCUCCCUGAACGUGUGGCUAGCUGAGUUUGCGGAAGAAACCAGGAGAGUGCCAACACCAGGCUUGCAAGCAAGAGGCUCCCUGACUGCCUGAUCCUGGAGCGCACCCCAUCCUCCCUGUGUUCCCUGGGCCUCAGCUGUUCCCCAGUGACCUUGGAGACACCCUGCCCCACCCUGGCUCCACAGGAGCCCUGCCCAUCACCGCCUCAGCUCUGAGUCUCCCCUGGGGACACAACCUUCCUCCUGGUGCAGAGGCGCAGGAUGCUGCCCCUAAGGCCCAUCUUCCUCUGCAGCAUGUUUUGAUGUCAGCUCAUUCACAGGAAAGAAACAAUCACAUCUCAGUGCCCAGAAUGGGGACCAAUAGGAGAGGUCACUGGGAAUAAAGCCCACACGCACCCCAGGGUCCAUGGGCUCCCCAGAAAUGCAGGUGGCCUCCGCCAGAGCCAACAAGCCUAAGUUGCUGAUCAGCCCCUCCCUGCUUCCCUGUGUGGAAGAGGAAACAGAGGCCCAGACUAGUAGGGCUCUGCCGUGGUGGCCGGCUGCGUCCCCAGACCUCUGGUCCCAGGGCUGGCUGGGAGUGCCCCUCCCUGUGCUCACUUCCUGCUCUCCUGGGAAAUGGCUCAGGGAUGGGGCGUGUGGGGACAGAUGCUGGCAUAGCUCACAAAAUGCUUGCACAAGGGACACUCCAUGGCAGGUCCCUGCAGGAGAGCAAAGUCACAACAUUCAGAGAUUCCCUGCACUCUGAGGCCCGCAGAGCCUGGCCGACCAAGCGAGGCUGGGAGGAUGUUGCCUGCUGGUCAGGGCAGCCCUCUGAUCAGGGCGGCCGAGUGAGGCUGGGAGGAUGGUGCCCGCUGGUCAGGGCAGCUGAGCGUGGCUGGGAGGAUGGUGCCUGCUGGUCAGGGCAGCCCUCUGGUCAGGGUGGCCAAGCGAGGCAGGGAGGGAGGUACCCACCGGUCAGGGCAGCCGAACAAAGCUGGAAAGAUGGUGCCUGCUGGUCAGGGCGGCUGAAUGAGGCUGGGAGGAUGGUGUCUGCUGGUCAGGGCAGCUCAGGAGGUGCUGCCCAGGAGGUGCUGUCCAGGCAGAGCCUAGGGCUGGUGUGGGUGUGCCAUGCUCCUGAGAAGUUUCUGGGUUGUGGCUUUAAUGUUCUCCUGCAGUGAGAACGCUGACACUUGGCCAAAGGGUCCUCACCUCUCCCCUAGUACACUUCUGAGAUGCCAGGAAGGUUCUGAACAUCAGAUUGAUUCCUGGGACUCCCCUCCAGGGUGGCCUUACUGGAGUCAGGAGCCCCUGCCCCACUAGGAUGGCUCUGCAGUGGCCUGAGGACAGUGAGCACUGACUGGUCACUGGUGCAAAGUUGCCCACUGUGAUGGUUUUGACCGUUGAUGGGAACCAAGUGAAAGCCCUGCAGCUAUUUCUAGGCAUUUCAGAGGGUGCUUCCCUGCAUGUACUCUGCUGCAGACCAUCCUCCCUGGGCCAGGAGCCCGCUACACAGUAGGAGAUUCUUUUUCUUCUCUUUUGAGCACUUUUAUUCUCUUUUUCUUAAUCUCUGCUCCUCCUUUGAACUGAGAAAUGUGCAAAUCUUUUUUGUUAGUUUUGAGGUUGCUUCUUAUGCAUAUUUCAUCUGGAACUUUCCCCUUUGGGGGUGAUCUGUUCUAUCAGCCUGCCCGCUGCUAGAGAGGCCGAGGUGGUCCGGCCAGCCGUGCGCUGCUGCUGGUGUCUCUGUGGGCAUGACCUGGUGAGAUAUCAUUCUGCAUCUGGGGGUCCAUCCUAUCAGCCCUGUGUUCUAGAUUCCCCAGUGACUGACAUUUAGCCAGUCUCCUCUGUCACUCUCCAGUGACAUGUACACACUGUUGGCACGAACUGCAGAUGUCACGUUCUGUGGCUGAGAGCCUCAGUGUGCAUCUGUAGUAGGAGGAUGUCAGUGAGGACUGUCCUGUCGCUGCUGAGCUGGCACCGACUGUGCCUGGUCUACACUCCAGGUCUGCCAAACGACCCAGCAAGGUCCUUCACAACUCUUCUGAUCCAGGAUCACACAUCACUUGUGCUUUGAUGCCUGCUUCUGAACAAUUUUACCUCCUGAGAUGUCCAUUUUUGGGAGUGUGAGCCCUCCUCUCCUGGUGACAGCUGGCUGAGGCCGUCCAGCCUCAGGACACACAGGGAACGGCUGCAUAAGGAGAUCUGGGGCAGGGGGCCCACCAGGAUGUUCUGCCCUGUGGGGGGCAACACCGGCUGUGGUCUGCCGGCGGCAUCCAGGGACAGUCUGUCUAGGUGAGGCUGAGGCCGCCCCCACUCGCUCCCUCACCCCCAUGCUGACAGCAGUGAGCUGACCACAGACUGGGGGAGCCCCACAGGGAGACUGGCCUCCCCAGCACAUGCCCCGCAGUGCCAGACGCGGUCAUCACAGAGGCAGGUACACGACACCACGGACGUGCCACGUACCCGCCAUCGGGACCAAGGACCACUGAGAAACCAUGAAGGCCAUGCAGCGACUGUGGUGGCAGGACCGUCAGGAGGCCAUAGGUGCCACGGCUCCCCUCUGGUGGUUCACCUGCCCACCUGUAGCUGGGGUGGCCCCUCCAGUGCGCUCCCCAGAGCAGAACACCCCCCAGGCAACACGUCUGAUGAAGGCCAACAGCGUCAGUCCUCUGGUGUUUGGUGACAUCAAAGCUGUGCCGAAAGGCCUUCCCUCACUGCUAACACUUGAAGGGCUUCUGUCCGGUGUGGACCCUCUGAUGGCGAAUGUGGUCUGUCUUAUGCUUAAAGAUCCACCUCCAUUAACUGCACUCUUAGGGUUUCUUCCUCUGAAAAGGAAUGAACACGGGAACCCCCUCAAAGGCAUUUUUAAAUGAAGCGUGGAAGGCAUCAAAGAUGUGCUCUUCUUCAGGACUCAGGCUUCUCCAUCAUUCUCUGUUCCUUGGAAGCGUGAGGGCUAAGGAGCUGCUGACUUCUCUCUCUUGGCCCCACUUCAAGAAAGGCUUGCUUCCCACACACCUCUCCACGCUCCCAGUGCGGGACUGACACUCUGCACCGGGAGGCCAAGGGCCACCAUCGUCUUGCUGAUUAUAUGUCAAGUUCUGUGUGAAAUGAGAGACCAUGGGGAUUCAUUAUUGCUGGAGUUGACGCUUUGAGAUUUUAUGGAACAAUGUAGACUCAUGCCCAGUAACAGAUCUGGAGAGGAGAAACAGGCUAAAAGCCAAUAUGUUUCACAAGAGCAACUGAAACCAAUAUUUCAAAUGAAGAACUGACUCGUACACAGGUACUGUAAGAAUCCUGGGAAGUGGAAAGAGAUUCCAAUCUCACCUCAUCAGGGAGCAUCGAAUGCUCUCUUAAGCUCAAUAGGAAGAAGUGAGGCUACUUUCAGAUUUCUCUAUCCCAAUGGCUUCAAUUGUACUAAGGUAAAAACUAUUUGACAGAGUGUAAUUUUUCUGCAGUUGUGACAUGAACAGUCCAGUUUGUGUCAAAAGAAUACUUCCCUCAAUGAGAAUGUGGUUUUGAUUAGAGAUAUUUCUAGUAUUAAACAUAACAUAAUAGCUAACAUUUAAUGAGCUCUUACUAUUUGACAUGGAACUAAGUGUUUUCCAAGGAUUAUUAUUAUUAUAAUGAAUCCUCACAAAUAUUAUGACAUUGGAUUUUCAAUAGCCUCAUCUAAUAGACACUCAACUAAGGUAAGGGACAGAGCUGGGAUUUAAACCUGGGGCAUGCUCUGUUUUUUCUGGUGCUGUGUCUCAAGUUACAGAGGCUUGAGGUCUUUUCUAAGUAAUACCUAUAGCUCCUUGUCUCCCAGAAGAGACCUAUUAUUUAGGGAAUCCUUAAAGCUUUUGUCUUGCCUGCUUGCGACUACUUCUAUUGCUUGCAGCAUAUUCCUCAGCAACUUCAUGGUUUUCUGGGCAGAGUGUUGGAAAUUAUGUGGUAGGAUGGAUUUAAGAGUUGAAGGGUUGUUUACUGAUAUGAUUUGGCUCUGUGUCCCCAUCCAAAUCUCAUCUUGAAUUGUAAUCCCCAGGUGUUGAGGGAGGGACCAGCUGGGAGGUGAUUGGAUCAUGGGGGUGGUUUCCCCCACACUGUUCUCGUGAUAGUGAGUGAGUUCUCAAGAGAUCUCAUGGUUUUAUAAGGGGGUGGGGGCGGCUCUUCCCCUUUCACUUACUCACUCCCUCUUGCCAUCUUGUGAAGAAGGUGUCUGCUUCCCCUUCGCCUUCCACUAUGAUUGUAAGUUUCCUGUAAGAGGCCUCCCCAGCCAUGCAGAACUGUGAGUCAAUUAAACCUCCUUCCUUUAUAAAUUACCCAGUCUCAGACGGUAUUCUACAGCAGUG